Molecule: ribosomal RNA, 442 nt
Filed under: uncultured bacterium
Lineage: Bacteria
Description: partial 16S ribosomal RNA
Rfam family: Bacterial small subunit ribosomal RNA
Source: RNAcentral
CCUACGGGAGGCAGCAGUAGGGAAUCUUUCACAAUGGGCGCAAGCCUGAUGGAGCAACGCCGCGUGCAGGAUGAAGGCCUUCGGGUUGUAAACUGCUUUUAUAAGCGAGAAAUAUGAUGGUAACUUAUGAAUAAGUAUCGGCUAACUACGUGCCAGCAGCCGCGGUCAUACGUAGGAUCCGAGCAUUAUCCGGAGUGACUGGGUGUAAAGAGUUGCGUAGGUGGCAUAAUAAGUAGCUAGUGAAAUCUGGUGGCUCAACCAUUCAGACUAUUAGCUAAACUGUUAAGCUCGAGACCGUUAGGGGUAACUGGAAUUUCUAGUGUAGGAGUGAAAUCCGUAGAUAUUAGAAGGAACACCAAUAGCGUAGGCAGGUUGCUGGGACGGUUCUGACACUAAGGCACGAAAGCGUAGGGAGCAAACGGGAUUAGAUACCCUUGUAGUC